Molecule: long non-coding RNA, 207 nt
Filed under: Ananas comosus (pineapple)
Lineage: Eukaryota; Viridiplantae; Streptophyta; Magnoliopsida; Poales; Bromeliaceae
Description: long non-coding RNA (ACOM_LNC036065)
Source: RNAcentral
CGCUGAGCGCGCUGUUAUGUUCCAUUUGGAAAUCCGAUGGACGGAUCUUCGAGAAACGUGAAAAGUUUGUUGAGGGGUCGAAUUGGCAAAAACGAAAAAUUCGCGAAAGGUCUAAUAUUUUAUGCGCCGUUUUGCGCGAAUUCGAACGUCGAGGGGCUGGUAUGCAAAAUACACGCGCUAACAGUGAGCUGGAUGGUAAAUAAUCAG